This 460-nucleotide ribosomal RNA is filed under the name uncultured bacterium. RNAcentral's name for it is "partial 16S ribosomal RNA". It matches the Rfam family "Bacterial small subunit ribosomal RNA", at positions 338 to 795 of the family's 1533-position model. The record is from RNAcentral.
CCUACGGGCGGCAGCAGUGAGGAAUAUUGGUCAAUGGACGCAAGUCUGAACCAGCCAUGCCGCGUGCAGGAAGACGGCUCUAUGAUUUGUAAACUGCUUUUGUACGAGGGUAAACGCAGAUACGUGUAUCUGCCUGAAAGUAUCGUACGAAUAAGGAUCGGCUAACUCCGUGCCAGCAGCCGCGGUAAUACGGAGGAUUCAAGCGUUAAUCGGAUUUAGUGGGUUUAACGGGUGCGUAGGCGGUCGGAUAAGUUAGAGGUGAAAUCCCGAGGCUCAACUUCGGAACUGCCUCUGAUACUGGCCGGCUAGAGUGUAGUUGCGGUAGGUGGAAUGUAAGGUGUAGCGGUGAAAUGCGUAGAGAUCAUACAGAACACCGAUUGCGAAGGCAGCUUACCAGGCUACUUCUGACGUUGAGGCACGAAAGCGUGGGGAGCAAACAGGAUUAGAUACCCCGGUAGUC